This 491-nucleotide ribosomal RNA is filed under the name uncultured bacterium. Its description in RNAcentral is "partial 16S ribosomal RNA". It matches the Rfam family "Bacterial small subunit ribosomal RNA", at positions 30 to 507 of the family's 1533-position model. The record is from RNAcentral.
AUUGAACGCUGGCGGCAGGCUUAACACAUGCAAGUCGAGCGGUAACAGAGAGAAGCUUGCUUCUCUGCUGACGAGCGGCGGACGGGUGAGUAAUGCCUAGGAAUCUGCCUAGUAGUGGGGGAUAACUUGCCGAAAGGUAAGCUAAUACCGCAUACGUCCUACGGGAGAAAGGAGGGGACCUUCGGGCCUUUCGCUAUUAGAUGAGCCUAGGUCGGAUUAGUUAGUUGGUGAGGUAAUGGCUCACCAAGACCGCGAUCCGUAACUGGUCUGAGAGGAUGAUCAGUCACACUGGAACUGAGACACGGUCCAGGAUCCUACGGGAGGCAGCAGUGGGGAAUAUUGGACAAUGGGGGGGAACCCUGAUCCAGCCAUGCCGCGUGUGUGAAGAAGGUCUUAGGAUUGUAAAGCACUUUAAGUUGGGAGGAAGAGCAGUUAACUAAUAUUUGACUGUUUUGACGUUACCGACAGAAUAAGCACCGGCUAACUUCGUG